RNAcentral lists this ribosomal RNA (497 nucleotides) under uncultured bacterium. Its description in RNAcentral is "partial 16S ribosomal RNA". It matches the Rfam family "Bacterial small subunit ribosomal RNA", at positions 28 to 507 of the family's 1533-position model. The record is from RNAcentral.
GGUGAACGCUGGCGGCGUGCCUAAUACAUGCAAGUCGAGCGAACGGACGAGAAGCUUGCUUCUCUGAUGUUAGCGGCGGACGGGUGAGUAACACGUGGAUAACCUACCUAUAAGACUGGGAUAACUUCGGGAAACCGGAGCUAAUACCGGAUAAUAUUUUGAACCGCAUGGUUCAAAUGUGAAAGACGGUCUUGCUGUCACUUAUAGAUGGAUCCGCGCUGCAUUAGCUAGUUGGUAAGGUAACGGCUUACCAAGGCAACGAUGCAUAGCCGACCUGAGAGGGUGAUCGGCCACACUGGAACUGAGACACGGUCCAGACUCCUACGGGAGGCAGCAGUAGGUAAUCUUCCGCAAUGGGCGAAAGCCUGACGGAGCAACGCCGCGUGAGUGAUGAAGGUCUUCGGAUCGUAAAACUCUGUUAUUAGGGAAGAACAUAUGUGUAAGUAACUGUGCACAUCUUGACGGUACCUAAUCAGAAAGCCACGGCUAACUACGUG